CACCUCAGCAUCUACCAGAAUAUAGGAAGCAAACAGCACGCACCAGCCUCAUAAAAGGAUAUGCAUGUUUAAGCUCCAAUACUAUAUCUAUAAAGUAGAUAAAAAAUAGAAAGCUAUUGAUAACUCACUUUCUAGACUUGAAACAAAAGAACUCUCCCAGCAAAUUUGUCUUAUCUUUUAAAAGAUCUACUGUUUCAAGAGGACAUCUCACGACUUCUUUAGAUGACUGUCUUCUCUACUCAUCUAUUCACUUAAACUGCUACUUAGGAAUUUCUCUCGUUCAUAGAUCUUGAAACCAUAUCAACAUCACUUACUCAGUAUCAUUUCCUAAUAGAUCUAUGAUAGAAAGAUCUAGACAUGGACUUCAUAUCUAGUCUAGAUAUAGGAGGACCAACUUUGUUGCAACAACAAAAGCACCACGUUGUCCCUAUAAUGUUAUCUGACAAUGUAACCUGAG
This 457-nucleotide long non-coding RNA is filed under the name Capsicum annuum. RNAcentral describes it as "long non-coding RNA (CANN_LNC006152)". The record is from RNAcentral. Lineage: Eukaryota; Viridiplantae; Streptophyta; Magnoliopsida; Solanales; Solanaceae.